Molecule: ribosomal RNA, 341 nt
Filed under: Arilus sp. WCW-2003
Lineage: Eukaryota; Metazoa; Arthropoda; Insecta; Hemiptera; Reduviidae
Description: eukaryotic LSU rRNA
Rfam family: Eukaryotic large subunit ribosomal RNA
Source: RNAcentral
CGUCUUGAAACACGGACCAAGGAGUUUAGCGUGUGCGCGAGUCAUUGGGUACAAUAAACCUAAAGGCGAAAUGAAAGUGAAGGAAACUUGCUUUCUGAAGGAAGAUGGGUCAGGGCUCACUGAGCCCUCCUCGCACUCCUGGGGCGUCUGUAACUCUCUUUGAGGGGAAGGCGCACCUAGAGCGCACACGCUGAUACCCGAAAGAUGGUGAACUAUGCCUGGCCAGGACGAAGCCAGGGGAAACCCUGGUGGAGGUCCGCAGCGAUUCUGACGUGCAAAUCGAUCGUCGGAGCUGGGUAUAGGGGCGAAAGACCAAUCGAACCAUCUAGUAGCUGGUUCCU